RNAcentral lists this ribosomal RNA (468 nucleotides) under uncultured bacterium. RNAcentral describes it as "partial 16S ribosomal RNA". It matches the Rfam family "Bacterial small subunit ribosomal RNA", at positions 28 to 507 of the family's 1533-position model. The record is from RNAcentral.
GACGAACGCUGGCGGCGUGCUUAACACAUGCAAGUCGAACGGAAAGGCCCUGCUUUUGUGGGUUGCUCGAGUGGCGAACGGGUGAGUAACACGUGAGUAACCUGCCCUUGACUUUGGGAUAACUUCAGGAAACUGGGGCUAAUACCGGAUAGGAGCUCCUGCUGCAUGGUGGGGGUUGGAAAUUUUCGGCGGUUGGGGAUUGACUCGCGGCUUAUCAGCUUGUUGGUGGGGUAGUGGCUUACCAAGGCUUUGACGGGUAGCCGGCCUGAGAGGGUUACCGGCCACAUUGGGACAGAGAUACGGCACAGACUCCUACGGGAGGCAGCAGUGGGGAAUAUUGCACAAUGGGAGGAAGCCUGAUGCAGCAACGCCGCGUGCGGGAUGACGGCCUUCGGGUUGUAAACAGCUUUCGCCUGUGACGAAGAGUGAGUGAAGGUAAUGGGUAAAGAAGCACCGGCUAACUACGUG